UACGAAGGGUGCGAGCGUUAAUCGGAAUUACUGGGCGUAAAGGGCACGUAGGCGGUUUGAUAAGCGGAAUGUGAAAGCCCCGGGCUUAACCUGGGAACUGCAUUCCGAACUGUCAGGCUAGAGUAUGAUAGAGGUGAGCGGAAUUUCCUGUGUAGCGGUGAAAUGCGUAGAUAUAGGAAGGAACAUCAGUUGCGAAGGCGGCUCACUGGAUCAAUACUGACGCUGAGGUGCGAAAGCGGGGGUAGCGAACAGG
RNAcentral lists this ribosomal RNA (253 nucleotides) under uncultured bacterium. RNAcentral's name for it is "partial 16S ribosomal RNA". It matches the Rfam family "Bacterial small subunit ribosomal RNA", at positions 524 to 776 of the family's 1533-position model. The record is from RNAcentral.